UACGUAGGUGGCAAGCGUUGUCCGGAAUUAUUGGGCGUAAAGCGCGCGCAGGCGGUCCUUUAAGUCUGAUGUGAAAGCCCACGGCUCAACCGUGGAGGGUCAUUGGAAACUGGGGGACUUGAGUGCAGAAGAGGAAAGUGGAAUUCCACGUGUAGCGGUGAAAUGCGUAGAGAUGUGGAGGAACACCAGUGGCGAAGGCGACUUUCUGGUCUGUAACUGACGCUGAGGCGCGAAAGCGUGGGGAGCAAACAGGAUUAGAAA
This 261-nucleotide ribosomal RNA is filed under the name uncultured bacterium. RNAcentral describes it as "partial 16S ribosomal RNA". It matches the Rfam family "Bacterial small subunit ribosomal RNA", at positions 524 to 784 of the family's 1533-position model. The record is from RNAcentral.